This 274-nucleotide ribosomal RNA is filed under the name uncultured bacterium. RNAcentral describes it as "partial 16S ribosomal RNA". It matches the Rfam family "Bacterial small subunit ribosomal RNA", at positions 523 to 796 of the family's 1533-position model. The record is from RNAcentral.
AUACGGAGGGUGCAAGCGUUACUCGGAAUCACUGGGCGUAAAGCGCGCGCAGGCGGGCUGAUAAGUUGGAUGUGAAAGCCUACGGCUCAACCGUAGAACUGCAUCCAAAACUGUCAGUCUAGAGUGUGGGAGAGGAAGAUGGAAUUAGUUGUGCAGGGGUAAAAUCCGUAGAGAUAACUAGGAAUACCAAAAGCGAAGGCAAUCUUCUGGAACCCUACUGACGCUGAGGCGCGAAGGCGUGGGGAGCAAACAGGAUUAGAAACCCCAGUAGUCC